ACUCCUACGGGAGGCAGCAGUGGGGAAUAUUGCACAAUGGGGGAAACCCUGAUGCAGCCAUGCCGCGUGUGUGAAGAAGGCCUUCGGUUGUAAAGCACUUUCAGUAGGGAGGAAGGUAGUGUAGUUAACACCUGCAUUAUUUGACGUUACCUACAGAAGAAGCACCGGCUAACUCCGUGCCAGCAGCCGCGGUAAUACGGAGGGUGCGAGCGUUAAUCGGAAUUACUGGGCGUAAAGCGCAUGCAGGCGGCCUGUUAAGUCAGAUGUGAAAGCCCGGGGCUUAACCGUCGGAAUUGCAUUUGAAACUGGCAGGCUAGAGUCUUGUAGAGGGGUUAGAAUUUCAGGUGUAGCGGUGAAAUGCGUAGAGAUCUGAAGGAAUACCAGUGGCGAAGGCGGCCCCGUGGACAAAGCU
This 412-nucleotide ribosomal RNA is filed under the name uncultured bacterium. Its description in RNAcentral is "bacterial SSU rRNA". It matches the Rfam family "Bacterial small subunit ribosomal RNA", at positions 335 to 741 of the family's 1533-position model. The record is from RNAcentral.